This is a long non-coding RNA of Nymphaea colorata (pocket water lily), 1241 nucleotides long. RefSeq lists it as uncharacterized. The transcript has 4 exons. NCBI's taxonomy places the organism in Eukaryota, Viridiplantae, Streptophyta, Magnoliopsida, Nymphaeales, Nymphaeaceae. The record is from RefSeq and is a predicted model, not a curated record.
AAGGAAAAGAGAGAGAUUUACCACAUUGCCUUUGGUCCUUUAUUAGCACAAAUGCAUCGAGGGCCCUCUAGUCUAUCCAGCUGGGAAGCCGUUCUCCCUUUUGUACUUCGUAGCGUCGGCUUGGUGAAGGCGUUGGCUCGAUGUUCUUGUCCAUUCUGGUGCAUAAGUAAGUCACGGAAGACAUUUUUUUUGCCCGUUAGGGCUUGCUCUCUUCUUCGACUCUAGCUGCAUUCCUCUUCGACCGCUCGCCGUGCUCUCCACCACCGGCGCCGCUCACCCUCCAGCCGUCGCUCUCCCCCACCAUCAUCGCCUACGCGAAGGAUUGGGUUGUGGAUUGCUACAAUCAGAAUAAGCUUGUUGAGAUUGAUAGUUACCUUUUCACAAUGCUUAUUGUUCACUUAUAGAGAAAGCUGAACACUUCAUGUACAUAGAGAACCAGUUUUACAUAUUGGGCCUUUCAGUAGAUGAUAUCAUUUGAAACUGUGUUUUGGAGGCAUUAUAUCAACGGAUUUCGCGUGCAAACAAUGGAAAUGUUCGAGAGUGAUUAUAGGAGGGCUAGAUGUUGGAGGUGCUGCAUCUGUGAGAGCUAUACUGCACUGGCAAUAUCGCACCAUUUGGGGGUGUUCUGCUUUUUCCUUUAAUUUGAAGUUGCUGUUCUUACACUUGCCGCAGACAGGAACUUUAUUUGAAAGGAACGCACUUUGAUUUUUUUGUAUCAUCUGCUUUCUUUAUAGGUCCUUUUUCCUGAUGUUAUUUUCACUAUCUUCCUUUUUGCUGAUGUUAUUUUCACUCUCUUCUUCCGAACUCUUUGUAGGGUGGGUUUUCUUCUUCUGGAUUGUGUUGCAAGCCGUGAAGAAAAGCUUGAACAUCACAAAACACUCGCUGAAUGCACAGCCGGUUCAGCGAUUUCUACUUACUCUGGGGCACGACAUUCUCAUCAUCAUGAGUCAUGACCACACUAAGUGAAUCCUUUAAGAGGCUAAGUGGCUGUUGCCUCUUGUGUGAUGACAGGAGCGGUGGCUUUUCUUGUUUUAGUAUGUCAAUAAUAGUGUCAAGGAUCUUCUGUCAAUGGUGGGACAGUUGUGGGAUCUUGUGUCAAAUGGUAGAACAGCUGCCGUGUAUCUCUCAUCGGUGUUCUGUUGGAGUGCGCAUGGCAGUUUAUCGCCAUGGUCACCGUGAAAAUUGAGGUGUUGGUGACCUUAAUGACAUGAAAACUUCCUGCUUUUCUUCCCUUGUUUCCA